RNAcentral lists this ribosomal RNA (220 nucleotides) under uncultured fungus. Its description in RNAcentral is "partial 18S ribosomal RNA". The stretch from base 28 to 220 matches the Rfam family "Eukaryotic small subunit ribosomal RNA", at positions 674 to 869 of the family's 1831-position model. Lineage: Eukaryota; Fungi. The record is from RNAcentral.
GGGUCAGUAGGUUGGUCAUGCCACUGGUAUGUACUGAUCUUACUGAUUCCUCCUUCCUGGUGAACCGUAAUGCCAUUAAUUUGGUGUUGCGGGGAGACUGGACUGUUACUUUGAAAAAUUAGAGUGUUUAAGGCAGGCUAACGCUUGAAUACAUUAGCAUGGAAUAAUGAAAUAGAAUGUUCGAUCCUAUUUUGUUAGUUUCUAGGAUAGAUGUAAUGAU